Long non-coding RNA from Drosophila yakuba, 3310 nucleotides. RefSeq lists it as uncharacterized. The record is from RefSeq and is a predicted model, not a curated record. Lineage: Eukaryota; Metazoa; Arthropoda; Insecta; Diptera; Drosophilidae. The transcript is spliced from 2 exons.
CGAAAAAGUUCUUUAUACUGAGAUUGAUCGAAAGUUAGAGCUUGGUGUGAUAGAACCUUUAAACAGUUCUUGGAGCUCACAAAUUCCAAUAAAGUGAGACUUUGCUUGGAUGCGCAAAAAUUAAAUGAUGCCACUUAAAAAGAUGCGUCCCCCUUACAAAGCAUCGAUGGAAUUUUCUCUUGCUUGCCGAAGGCCAAUAUAAUUAGUAAAUUGGACCUGAAGGAUGCCUAUUGGCAGAUACAGUUAACAGAAGAGGCAAAACCACUCACGGCUUUCACAGUGCCGGGUCGAACUCUUUUUCAGUUCGCCGUUAUGUAAUUCGGUUUAUAUAACGCACCAUCCACUAUGUGUCGUCUAAUGGAUGAUUUAAUUCCUGCUGAUCUGCGUCACUGUGUAUUUGGAUAUUUAGAUGACUUAUGAAUAGUUACCGAAGACUUUGAAUCUCAUUUGCCUGUACUGAAUCGAAUUGCAGAGCAGUUCCGAAAGGCAAUCUUAACAAUAAACAUUAGUAAGAUCCAUUUCUGUGUGACCAAAGUUAACUAUUCAGUAUACAUCAUUCGCCCGAUCCUCGUAAUAUAAAGCAUCUCCGAGGAUUUUUAAGUGUAUGCGGCUGGUAUCGCCGUUUUAUUUUCAAUUUUGUUGACUUAACUUUUCAAAAAGUAAGUAACUUGUCAAAAAGUAAGACCCUUAAACCAGAAGCACAGGAUGUUAUGGAUGCAUUAAAGCGGAAGCUUACCUCUGCUCCGGUACUCCAUAAUCCUGACUUUACGCAAAAAUUCUUUCUCCAUUGCGAUGCGAGUGACUAUGGCAUUGGAGCAGCUUUAGUUCAAGUGUCCGAAUCAGGAAAUGAAAUGCCAAUAGCGUUUAUAUCGAAGAAACUUUCCAAGUUACAACGAAAGUAUAGUGUCACGGAACGUUAGCGCUUGGCAGUAAUAUUGUCAAUCGAAAAAUUCCGUUUCUAUCUCGAGUUGCAAGAAUUUGAGGUAAAAACCGAUUACUCCAGCCUAGUUUGCUGAUGAGGCAACAAAAUGUAUCAGGUCGUCUUGCCAGAUGGAUUUUUCGGUUACAAGGAUUUCAAUUUACCAUAUCUCAUUGAAAAGGGAAGGAUCAUAUCGUGCCAGAUGCCUCAUCGACGAUAUGUUAAGAAAACAUUGAAAGUCUAGAAUUUGUAGGUCCUGAAAUAGAUUUAGACUCUGAUGCUCUUAAUGAGCAAGACUAUGUAGAACUCCGAAAUCGAAUAGUAGAAAAUCUCGAUAAAUUUUCGGAUUUACGAGUCCAUGGUAAAUUCGUAUACAUACGAACUGACCAUCCAAAAGGGAAUAUAGAACAAGAAGCCGAUAGUUGGAAACUCUGGGUCCCAGAAAAGCUGAGAGCUGCUGCUAUUUGGCAGGCCCAUGAUAGUGUCGUUUCUGCACAUGGAGAAAUACAAAAGACUGUUGAAAGACUACGACGAAAUCUUUUUUGGCCAGGAUUGUCGAAAGAAGUUCGCAAUUAUAUAAAUAAGUGUGAAAUGUGUAAACAGACAAGGGACCCGACAAAAUUUUACGAACGCCCAUGGGAGAGCAGAUUGUAUCAACCAGACCCUAAACCUAGAUCAUUUCAGCCGAUAUCAUUGGCUCUGUCCACUUAAAAAAUUCACUACUUUAGCCAUAAUACCUUUUUAUGCAAACGAAUAUUUGGUGAAUUUUGAGUACCAGAGACACUAAUUAGUGACAACGCAUCCCAGUUUAAGGCGAAAGAAUUCGAGGCAAUGUUAGCCAAAUGGGGUAUUCGUCAUGUUUGUACCGCUCUUUAUUCACCGCAAAGUAAUGCGGCGAAAGAGUCAAUCGUUCUUUAUUGUCAGCCAUACGAUCAUAUCUGCGAGAAGAUCAAACAGACUGGGAUUUGAACUUAACAAGUAUCUCGUCUGCGCUUUGGUCGGCUUUGCAUCAGUCCUUAGGUUGUUCUCCAUAUAAAGCUCUGCUUGGCUUCAACAUGAUUAACGAUGGGACCGAUUAUAAGCUCUUGAAACAAUUAUCUCUACUAGAGGAACAUACUCGCUUGAAUAGAGUGGGCCAAUUAGCAUUAUUACGGAAAGACAUAAAAUAGAAUAACGAAUGUUAAGCAAUACAACCUAAGACCUAACCCUGUUGUAUAUAGAGAAGGACAAGAAGUCUUUAAGCGAAACUUUCACUUAAGCAAUUUUAGUCAGAAUUACAAUAAGAAGUUAGGCCAUCAAUUUUCAAAGUGUAGAACUAAAAAGAAAUUAGGUAAUGCGUUUUAUCUAUUACAAACGUUAACAGAAAAAGAAAUCGGAACACAUCACGCAAAAGAUAACCGAAGCUAAUUCCAGCUAAUCCGUCUGCGAUUACUCGUCGGAUUAUCUGUGGUUGUAAUGGUUGGCCUUGGAGAAAAUUAAUUAAAGUUCAAAAGAAUAUUUAAAAUUACGGCUUACGCGCCCUACGAUAUUCAAACUCCUUCUCCAGACCUAGUUGAUAACAAUCAGGCGAUCAAGGUUGCCAUCUGAUCCUCGCAAUCGAUUUAUCGAUUAUAAAAAACUAUCUUUUCCGACCCAAGCCGCGUGUGUCCCGAAAAAGUGCAUAGAAACUUUAGAAAAAUCUAACGGCAUCCGCGACCUAAUCAGCUAAUUUAGCUAACAGGCGCACACCCGCCAAUCCCGAGCUAAAAGUACGAAGGCCCAAUACCGCGUGCUAUCACGGCUGGCUGCUCCGGCAUUGCCUUACAUAAAGGCCUUAGGAUUAAAUUCAACUAUAUCAGUCAAACAUAGGGCAGCUCUACCUCCCAUUUUCAUCAUCGGUAAAUAGUUUCCAUAUAGUGAAAACUUUCGGUCUCUUAAAAACACCAUUUCUUACAAUCGGCCCCGUUCAAGCCUUACAAAAGGGCUAGCAACAACCCUUUCGACCCAGCAGCUAUUUUUAGCGUGGUCGCAGCAACACAAUUCAAGCUUUAACUUCGUCGCCUGUUGUUGUUAUCCUACCCGCGCUAUUCAAGGCGGCUGAGCAGCGCGAAGGUAAGAUCAACGUCCACAACUGCGACGAGGGAGGAAUCUUCGCCAGGCCAGGAUCGACAGAUACUUAAAAACCAAGAUAAACCCCUUUGCCAUUUGACUAAAAUUUUAUUUUUAUUAAAGCUUUUAGGCUAGUGUUGGCGCUUUUGUUGAAAAAGAAAUAUUAAAGUUAAAGUUUUUCUGAGCACAUUCUUUUCUCCUCUGCCACGAAAAUGUAAACAAUUAUAAAUAUGUAGACGCAGAACGCAUAGAAUGCGGAGAAGUUGAAGAGAGACAUAUUAAAUGCGAGGAUAAAAACAAAAA